UGGGGAAUUUUGGACAAUGGGCGAAAGCCUGAUCCAGCAAUGCCGCGUGUGUGAAGAAGGCCUUCGGGUUGUAAAGCACUUUUGUCCGGAAAGAAAUCCUUGGCUCUAAUACAGUCGGGGGAUGACGGUACCGGAAGAAUAAGCACCGGCUAACUACGUGCCAGCAGCCGCGGUAAUACGUAGGGUGCAAGCGUUAAUCGGAAUUACUGGGCGUAAAGCGUGCGCAGGCGGUUUGCUAAGACCGAUGUGAAAUCCCCGGGCUCAACCUGGGAACUGCAUUGGUGACUGGCAGGCUAGAGUAUGGCAGAGGGGGGUAGAAUUCCACGUGUAGCAGUGAAAUGCGUAGAGAUGUGGAGGAAUACCGAUGGCGAAGGCAGCCCCCUGGGCCAAUACUGACGCUCAUGCACGAAAGCGUGGGGAGCAAACAGGAUUAGAUACCCUGGUAGUCCACGCCCUAAACGAUGUCACUAGUUGUUGGGGAUUCAUUUCCUAGUAACGUAGCUAACGCGUGAAGUUGACCGCCUGGGGAGUACGGUCGCAAGAUUAAAACUUAAUGAAUUGACGGGGUCAUAGCUGUUUCCU
This 582-nucleotide ribosomal RNA is filed under the name uncultured bacterium. RNAcentral describes it as "partial 16S ribosomal RNA". It matches the Rfam family "Bacterial small subunit ribosomal RNA", at positions 355 to 1375 of the family's 1533-position model. The record is from RNAcentral.